This is a long non-coding RNA of Carassius gibelio (silver crucian carp), 1044 nucleotides long. RefSeq lists it as uncharacterized. The record is from RefSeq and is a predicted model, not a curated record. NCBI's taxonomy places the organism in Eukaryota, Metazoa, Chordata, Actinopteri, Cypriniformes, Cyprinidae. The transcript is spliced from 3 exons.
CUCUCCAGUCGACCGGAGUCGUGGGCGGAGCACCGGAUGAUAUUUAGUUUAGUUUUGAACUACACAGAGCCGGAAGUGUGUUAUCCAUCCGAUGUAACGGUUCAUUAGGUGAAGACGGCAUUCAGAGAUUCUGAUGGAUCUUCGUGUCUGAGCAGGCUGAGAAAUAUAUUAACACACCCCUCUCCUUCAGUUCAUCUGCAUCGCUCUCUGAAGCAGAAUUUCGGAGUUUCUUCUAUCUUCUCACGAUCUGGAAACCCCAAACCCCAACGAGGGACUCCCCCAUGAGGAAUAUGAUCGCACUAAAGAACUGCAGAAGACUGAAGGAAUGGUGAAGUUCAUCAGCAGAAGUGACAGCAUGGACAGUCUCAUCAACUUUACAGAAGAAGAUCCAGAUGGAAAUGCUGUGAUUCCUGAGAAGAAAGACCAGAUCAGACCGGUUCUGCUGGGAAAGACUGGAUCUGGAAGAAUGGAACAAGAAACAGCAUCAUCAUCAAUGAAAUAUGAUUCAGAGACCAGUGAAAGAAUCAACAAAAACAACAACAAACACAUUAAAGUGAUGAGUCUGCAACCGAUUUCACAUCAAUCAGGAAAACAGGGAAGAUGGAGAGAAACAGAGGGACACACUGUUUGAGUAACGUCUGAGUGCUGGACUAGUCGAGACUGAGUCAAGACAGAGUCCAAAUGAGAGAAAAAAAGGGUCCUCUUCAAGACCACAUACUUUUUAUGUUCUUUAUUUACAUUUUAUUUAUUUAAUAAUGCUGCUGUUGCUGACAUUAUGUCUGUGAUCAAAAAUUAAAAUGACUGAUCCCUUGGCGCAGCCCACACACACACACACACACACACACACACACGAAGCACGGUUAAGGCUAGAAGGGAUACGUUUGUCUCCACUGGGCAUACACACAUAAAUACAGCGACAUGAUUGUCAUACUGUACUAGUGCUAGCAUAGACGAGUCGAGCGCUGUCAGAAACAAUCGACUACUCCAGCAUAAAUUAACCAUGAUGCAUACAAAGUGUUUGCAAGUACGACGUGACUUUUAGGA